AGAAAACUUUGGGUGGGAGUUCCUACCCUGUGACCGCUCAUGUGAUGUCUGGAGAUUUACUGGCACGAAACGCUUAGUGCUCUACGUAAGCUCGAAGCGCAGGUCUAACGAGUCUGAGAAAGUCCUUCCUGAUUCUGAGGGAGCUAUACUUGAGGGUCAGGACAAAUGGAGAAUUCAUCUGGCUCUAGUAAGCACAGCGAGGCUGGAUGUGCCUGAGGAAGAUUCCCAAAGGAAGCCCUGAUCAGUAGAUCCCACCUGGGAGAAUGGAGACUACCCCCGCAAAGUUCCCAGGGGUGCCCAGGAAGGUCAAGCUGCCAGACUCCACAGCAGGAGGACAGAGGAUGCACGUCUGCCUCUUCCAUGGAGCUAAGCCCUUUUCCUACUCUGCCCCCCAUCCCUUCAUCACAUGGUGAACAAGAAGGAUGAGGAGCCGUGACAAGUGUUGAUGGAGGACUUCUGAGUAGAUGUGUUUAAUCACCAGAGGGAACCUGUCCUGACAAGGCUACUGGAGGCUGGAGAUGCUGUUUGUGUCAGCUGGUCCCCGGGGGAGCCCAGGGCACAGUGACUCUGCUCACCUCCAGUGCCCAGAAGAGGGGUUUGAUUGUUACUGCAGCACAGCCUUCCAGCCUAUCCUGACUCGUACACUUGACAGCAAGUUCCUUAAAUCGCUUAAAGUCCUGUUUACUGUCCGUGAUGUCUUUGUUUAUUCUUUGUUGUCUGCUUUUAAAAGUCUUUAUGGGCAGGGACCUUGUUCCUUCCUAUUCACUAAUAAAUACCUCAGAUCCUAACAUAUUACCUGGAAAGUAGUAAAUAUACAGUCAUGA
Suricata suricatta (meerkat) is the source of this 824-nucleotide long non-coding RNA. RefSeq lists it as uncharacterized. NCBI's taxonomy places the organism in Eukaryota, Metazoa, Chordata, Mammalia, Carnivora, Herpestidae. The record is from RefSeq and is a predicted model, not a curated record. The transcript has 4 exons.